AAUUUAAAAAUUAUUGUAUUUAUUAGUUUAUAUUUUAUUUAUAAUAAAUAAAUUAUAUUUUAUUAAAGAAAAAGAAUAAAUUAAUUUUAUUAUAGUUAAUUAUUAUUGUAAAAGAAAUUAUAUUAAUUAUUUAUAAGAAAAAUUUAAUUUUUGUACCUUGUGUAUCAGGGUUUAUUAAUAAAUAAAUUUAUAUAAAUUAAUCUCGAAUUUAAAAGAGUUAAGAAAUUAUUUUUUUUAUUGUUAAAUAAAUAUUAUUAAUAAUUUUUUAGUAAUGAAAUGUUAUUCGUUUUUAAAAAUAUCUAGUUUUUUAAGAAAUAAAUUUAAUUUAUUUAUUAUAAAUAAAAUUUUAAAUUUUUAAAUUUUUAUUAGUAAUAGAUAAAAUUUUUAGGGAUGAGCUUAAAAAUUAAUUUUUAUUUAUUUAUAAAUAAAAUAAAAUUGUAGGAUUAAAAAUUUUUAUCAAUAAAAAAAUGUUAUAAUUAAUUUAUAAUUAAAUAUUAUUUUUAUAAAUAUUAAAUUUUAUAUUAAAAUGUUAAUUUAAAUUUUUAAAAUUAAGUAAUUAUGAUAAAAUUAGUAUAAAUUUAUAUUUUAAUAUUUGAUUAUAUUAAGGUAAAUUAAAAGAAUUCGGCAAAUUAUUUUUUACCUGUUUAUUAAAAACAUGUCUUUUUGAUAAUAAUUAAAAGUCUAACCUGCCCAAUGAGUAUUUUAAUGGCCGCGGUAUCUUGACCGUGCUAAGGUAGCAUAAUCAAUAGUUUUUUAAUUGAAAGCUGGAAUGAAGGGUUGGAUAAAAAAAUAACUGUUUUUACUUUAUUUAAUUAGAAUUUUAUUUUUAAGUUAAAAAGCUUAAAUUUUAUUAAAAGACGAGAAGACCCUAUAGAGUUUUAUAAUUUUAAAAUUUUUUAGUUUAAGAAUUUACUUUUUUAAUUUUUAAAAUUAUUUAAUUGGGGUGAUUAAAAAAUUAAUAUAACUUUUUUUGUAGAUUUACAAAAUUAAUUGAGUUUUUGAUCCAUAUAUAAUGAUUAUAAGAUUAAAUUACCUUAGGGAUAACAGCGUUAUUUUUUUUAAGAGUUCAAAUCGAAAAAAAAGAUUGCGACCUCGAUGUUGGAUUAAAAUUAAUUUUUGGUGUAGAAGCUAAAAUAUUAGGUCUGUUCGACCUUUAAAAUUUUACAUGAUCUGAGUUUAAACCGGUGUAAGCCAGGUUGGUUUCUAUCUUUAAUAAUAUAUAAUAUUUUAGUACGAAAGGAUUAAAUAUUAAAUUAAUAAUUUUAAUUUAGAAUAAAUUU
RNAcentral lists this ribosomal RNA (1280 nucleotides) under Gastrophysa polygoni. Its description in RNAcentral is "12S ribosomal RNA". The stretch from base 1040 to 1198 matches the Rfam family "Archaeal large subunit ribosomal RNA", at positions 2544 to 2703 of the family's 2987-position model. Lineage: Eukaryota; Metazoa; Arthropoda; Insecta; Coleoptera; Chrysomelidae. The record is from RNAcentral.